Cervus elaphus (red deer) is the source of this 352-nucleotide long non-coding RNA. RefSeq lists it as uncharacterized. The record is from RefSeq and is a predicted model, not a curated record. Lineage: Eukaryota; Metazoa; Chordata; Mammalia; Artiodactyla; Cervidae. The transcript is spliced from 3 exons.
AGGAAACUGGGAAACACUGAUGCCACCUCUCCACUCCAGUCUGAAGAAAAGUCAGGCAGGAGGAAACUGAGGCACAGAGAGCUAAAUAAGCUGCCCAAGAAGACAGAGGACUACUGGGCUGUGAAUUCAUGCAGUCUACCUCCAAUGCUUCCAACAGCUUCUCUGUGCUGCAGGACAAGUAAAGUCGACAACUGGGCUCUUCACUAGGAUGGACCACUCAAUGCUGGCCGGGCGCCCAGACUCUCCCACAUCCCGGCUCAGAUCUCGGAAGACGGCGAGGGAGGAGCGCGGCGAGGGGGCCGGGCGGGGCCUGGCAAGCCGGAGAGAAGGAGGAGCCUCGCCGAGAGCCUCG